RNAcentral lists this long non-coding RNA (1007 nucleotides) under Monodelphis domestica (gray short-tailed opossum). Its description in RNAcentral is "lncRNA (ENSMODG00000043678.1)". The record is from RNAcentral. Lineage: Eukaryota; Metazoa; Chordata; Mammalia; Didelphimorphia; Didelphidae.
AUGUUAUACCACACACUUACCACGCUGACCCCAAAAAAGGAAAAUGGCAGUUGUUGAAGGAGUUGAAAGAAAAUAGGGGUAUGAAUACACCAUUGCAGGAGCUGUGAAUUGGCCUAGCAAUUCUGGAAAGCAAUUAUCCCCAAAGUCACUAAACUAUGGAUGCCCUUUGACCCAAUGAUGCCACUACUAGACCUAUGCCCCAAAGAGAUCAACGAAAGAGCAAAAGAUGCCAUAUAUAGACAAUUAUAUAUCAGUCCGUUUUUGUUAUAGAAGCUACUGGGGUGGUUAUCAUCCAGGGAAUUGCUAAAGAAAUUAUGGAAUAUGGAUGUAAUGAAAUAUUAUUGUACCAUGAAAAAGGAUUAAAGAGAUGCUUUCAGAAAACUUGGGAAGAUAUAUAAAGCGACACAGUAUCACCAUGAGAGUAAUUUAUACAAUAAUAACAUUGUAAAGAAAAUAACUUUGAAAUGCUUAUGAACUCUGCUCAAUGUAAUGACCAACUUCAGGAGACUAAUGAUAAAUCAUACUUCUGUAGCAAGGGAAGGCAGAAGUAGCAAGAGUAUGAUUGACAGGCCUGGAUUCCAAGAGCCACUGGGUCAGGAUUCUAAGCUGUUGAAAGGAGCAGGCUUCCAACUGACAGUCUGGAGCUGAAAGUGAAGCCUGCAAGGUGACGAUCUGAUCUCUCCUGAACUCCCCUGGACAGCUUGCAAGCAGCCUCUUUGAAUACCAUCAAACAAGGGGACACAGUAUUCUGCUCCACAUAUCUUUCCAGGAGAUGGAACUGGGUGACUUACAUUUAUUCUCUGGUGUAAAUGAGGACUGUUAGAGCCUCCUCUAAGAGAAGACUUUUCUAUUGGAGAGGACAGAGAAAGGAUGAGGUCACAGAAGAGACUACCAAGAAGGAGUGGAAGGACCCUAAAAAGAGAGGUGACCUUGGUUCCUCAAAUGCUGACCCAGUGGAACCAAUGAAUAUAGAUUCAGAGCUUCAAGAGAUUAUAAAGGCUAUCUAG